GCCUGGGUGGCUCAGUCGGUUGAGCGUCCGACUUCGGCUCGGGUCACGAUCUCGCGGUCCGUGGGUUCGAGCCCCGCGUCAGGCU
RNAcentral lists this transfer RNA (85 nucleotides) under Felis catus (domestic cat). It matches the Rfam family "tRNA". Rfam says of the family: Transfer RNA (tRNA) molecules are approximately 80 nucleotides in length. Their secondary structure includes four short double-helical elements and three loops (D, anti-codon, and T loops). Further hydrogen bonds mediate the characteristic L-shaped molecular structure. tRNAs have two regions of fundamental functional importance: the anti-codon, which is responsible for specific mRNA codon recognition, and the 3' end, to which the tRNAs corresponding amino acid is attached (by aminoacyl-tRNA synthetases). tRNAs cope with the degeneracy of the genetic code in two manners: having more than one tRNA (with a specific anti-codon) for a particular amino acid; and 'wobble' base-pairing, i.e. permitting non-standard base-pairing at the 3rd anti-codon position. The record is from Rfam by way of RNAcentral. Lineage: Eukaryota; Metazoa; Chordata; Mammalia; Carnivora; Felidae.